AUUGAACGCUGGCGGCAGGCCUAACACAUGCAAGUCGAGCGGCGCUUCGGACGGGUGAUUAAUGCCUAGUAAUCUACCUGUUCGUAGGGGAUACCGUCCGGCAACGUGCGCUAAUACCGCAUACUAUCAGAUGAGCCUCGGUCGUAGUAGCUAGUUGGUGGGGUAGAGGCCUACCAAGGCGACGAUCCGUAACUGCUCGGAGAGGAUGAUCAGUCACACUGGAAAUGAGACACGGUACAAGGUGCGACGGGAGGGAGCAGUGGGCAAGAGGGGACAAUGGGUGAAAGCCUGAGCCAGCCAGGCCGCGUGUGUGAAGAAGGUCUUCGGAUUGUAAAGCAAAUUAAGUCGGGAGGCGUUACCCGCAGAAGAAGUACCGGCUAAAUCCGUGCCAGCAGCCGCGGUAAUAC
This 407-nucleotide ribosomal RNA is filed under the name uncultured bacterium. RNAcentral's name for it is "partial 16S ribosomal RNA". It matches the Rfam family "Bacterial small subunit ribosomal RNA", at positions 30 to 526 of the family's 1533-position model. The record is from RNAcentral.